RNAcentral lists this ribosomal RNA (492 nucleotides) under uncultured bacterium. RNAcentral describes it as "partial 16S ribosomal RNA". It matches the Rfam family "Bacterial small subunit ribosomal RNA", at positions 29 to 507 of the family's 1533-position model. The record is from RNAcentral.
AGUGAACGCUGGCGGUAGGCCUAACACAUGCAAGUCGAACGGCAGCACAGUAAGAGCUUGCUCUUACGGGUGGCGAGUGGCGGACGGGUGAGGAAUAAAUCGGAAUCUACUUUUUCGUGGGGGAGAACGUAGGGAAACUUACGCUAAUACCGCAUACGACCUACGGGUGAAAGCAGGGGAUCUUCGGACCUUGCGCGAAUGAAUGAGCCGAUGUCGGAUUAGCUAGUUGGCGGGGUAAAGGCCCACCAAGGCGACGAUCCGUAGCUGGUCUGAGAGGAUGAUCAGCCACACUGGAACUGAGACACGGUCCAGACUCCUACGGGAGGCAGCAGUGGGGAAUAUUGGACAAUGGGCGCAAGCCUGAUCCAGCCAUACCGCGUGGGUGAAGAAGGCCUUCGGGUUGUAAAGCCCUUUUGUUGGGAAAGAAAAGCAGCAGGUUAAUACCCCGCUGUUCUGACGGUACCCAAAGAAUAAGCACCGGCUAACUUCGUG